RNAcentral lists this ribosomal RNA (505 nucleotides) under uncultured bacterium. RNAcentral's name for it is "partial 16S ribosomal RNA". It matches the Rfam family "Bacterial small subunit ribosomal RNA", at positions 28 to 507 of the family's 1533-position model. The record is from RNAcentral.
GACGAACGCUGGCGGCGUGCCUAAUACAUGCAAGUAGAACGCACAGUUUAUACCGUAGCUUGCUACACCAUAGACUGUGAGUUGCGAACGGGUGAGUAACGCGUAGGUAACCUGCCUGGUAGCGGGGGAUAACUAUUGGAAACGAUAGCUAAUACCGCAUAAUAUUAAUUAUUGCAUGAUAAUUAAUUGAAAGGUGCAAUUGCACCACUACCAGAUGGACCUGCGUUGUAUUAGCUAGUAGGUGGGGUAACGGCUCACCUAGGCGACGAUACAUAGCCGACCUGAGAGGGUGAUCGGCCACACUGAGACUGAGACACGGCCCAGACUCCUACGGGAGGCAGCAGUAGGGAAUCUUCGGCAAUGGACGAAAGUCUGACCGAGCAACGCCGCGUGAGUGAAGAAGGUUGUCGGAUCGUAAAGCUCUGUUGUAAGAGAAGAACGGGUGUGAGAGUGGAAAGUUCACACUGUGACGGUAUCUUACCAGAAAGGGACGGCUAACUACGUG